CCAUUUUGGCAGUGCAGCCAGUUUUCACGUCUCUCGUUUUCUGGAGGUUGCCGUCUUGGAUUCUUAAAGAAGGGGCUUUCUACUGUCGCAACAGCCGCUUCUUCCGAGGUGAAGUUUCUUAAGAAAUCUUACAGGAUGUCUUCCUUCUCCAGCUCCAGGCAUAUCUUCCGAACACUCAUGAAGGCCCUUCAGAGCUGAUGAGGCUGAGAUCACAGACAGCAUUUGCCUGAUAUAAAAUAUGCACAGUAACACGGUCUUAAUUAGAUGUACAUGUCUCUGAAGAUAUAAAUAAAUGCUUCCUUUUUGAUAUGUCUGAUUUAAUAGCCUAAUAACAGGGGAAUGUUGCUGAAAUAUAAUUCAGAGGGUGAGGGAGAAAUUAAUAAACUCAAAUAUUUAAAGCUCAACAGCAAUUAACAGCCCAUUUAAAACAAAUUUCCCAAUUUUAAUUUUAUUUAUCCUUAUCCAACCAGGACUAAGCCUGGGGUUCAUCAUUAUUCAUUUUCAGACCUAACAGGGUGCUCUGCCCUUUGCUUGGGAGGCACUUUGAAAUUCCAUUACGCAGGGCCAGCAGACCGUGGAGCGGCCACGGCAGAGGCGGGAGAUGCAGAAGUCCCACCUGAAUGGCCGGAGGCACAGUGUUUUCCAUUUCCCUAUUUAGUUUUUCCUUCUCUCACUUCUUCAGAAAUUGGAUAUUAAUUUUGGUGCUGCAGCCUUAGCUACACACAUACAUCUGUACCCAGAAACAGACACUGUUUUCUGGAGGGUCGCCAUCCGAGAACGUCCGUGUCCGUGACCUCUGCUCAGCCGAGGCAGCACCUGAGCCCAGACCUCCUUGGUGAGCCCCUGGAGGGCCCGAAGGGAUCUCUCCCAGCUCACUUCUCUCUCUCCCAAGAACAUGGAAUUGGACUUAGAGGUGCCCACUCCCUACCGCUGCCUCGACCCAGCGGAGGCAGCUCGGGGAGCCAGAACUGAUGACUAUGCAGCUGGUACAGAGAGAGAAAUGAAAAGAACCGGAAAAAAACCCAGUCUCUGCUCUCGGCCCUGACUGCACUUCUGGCCCUUGGGGUCCAUUCAUCUGCAGAAUUCGUUCCUCUUGCUUUUUGCUGGAAGUCGUGUGGGUCAUGGUCUCUGUACCAGUGAAACACCGAAAUAGUCAUAGUGACUGAGGAGACCUUAGACGUCAUUGGCAACUCUGGAAUGUGCGCCAAGGGAGGGGACCCGGACGCGUGGCCCCCCAGCACACAGGAGGCUUCUGCACCCCUACCCUUCCUGUAGAGAAGGUAGGGGACAUGGUGGUUGUGCACUGGAUGUGACAACGGAGCAGAAACCUGCUGGAAGCCGCUCCCGGGAUCAGAGCACCACCGGCGAGCCACAGUCCUGACGUCGUAGGCUCCUGGGACUGCCAUGACAAAGGACCACAGAAAUCUCGUUUCUCACUGUUCUGGAGGGCAGAAGUCCAGUCGUGGUGUCAGCAGGGCUAUGCCCCCUCAGGGGUUCUAACCGAGCACCUCUUCUCUGCCUUGCCCCCAUCCCCGUGUGACCUCCUCCUCUUCUCUCGGUCCCUCCUCCGAGUGUCUCUUGUGAGGACGGACACCUGUCGCGGGAUGCAGGGCCCACCCUAGGAAACCAUGAUCUCAUCGCAAGAUCCUUAAUUUAACCACAUCUGCAAAGCCCCUUUUCCCAAAUAAGGUCACAUUCGCAGCUUCCUGGGGUUGGGAUGGGAACCUAUUUUUCGGGGGGCACACAUGUGUUUUGGGGGUGCCGUUGGUCAACACUGCCGAUGGUAAUGGCAGAGGGAAUGUUCAUCGCGCUUCAUGGAAUUCCUGCAACUUUCCUGUCACUUCCUGGUGAAUGUUUGUUGUUUUUCUUCUAAUUAAACUUUCUUGUGCUACAUAA
This is a long non-coding RNA of Mustela erminea (ermine), 1896 nucleotides long. RefSeq lists it as uncharacterized. The transcript has 2 exons. Lineage: Eukaryota; Metazoa; Chordata; Mammalia; Carnivora; Mustelidae. The record is from RefSeq and is a predicted model, not a curated record.